RNAcentral lists this ribosomal RNA (253 nucleotides) under uncultured bacterium. RNAcentral's name for it is "partial 16S ribosomal RNA". It matches the Rfam family "Bacterial small subunit ribosomal RNA", at positions 524 to 776 of the family's 1533-position model. The record is from RNAcentral. RNAcentral also lists the same sequence under 1 other name.
UACAGAGGGUGCAAGCGUUAAUCGGAAUUACUGGGCGUAAAGCGUGCGUAGGUGGUUUGAUAAGUCAGAUGUGAAAGCCCCGGGCUCAACCUGGGAACUGCAUUUGAUACUGUCGAACUCGAGUUCGGUAGAGGGUAGUAGAAUUCCCGGUGUAGCGGUGAAAUGCGUAGAUAUCGGGAGGAAUACCAGUGGCGAAGGCGGCUACCUGGACUGAAACUGACACUGAGGCACGAAAGCGUGGGGAGCAAACAGG